UUUAGGGAGACCUACCCGUUUUGUCUUGAGAGCUUAGUCAAGCACUAAGUUGUUAGAGAGAGAACUGGUCAUCCCAAGGUCGUUGAGGAAUUGAGUGUAGACUUCCAAGCUAUGUAAGAUUGGUUCGGGUUAUGGGCUAUUAGCUCAGGUGGUUAGAGCGCACCCCUGAUAAGGGUGAGGUCCCUGGUUCGAGUCCAGGAUGGCCCACCUUUACGAGAUAAGGGGGUUUAGCUCAGUUGGUAGAGCGCCUGCUUUGCAAGCAGGAUGUCAACGGUUCGAGUCCGUUAACCUCCACUGAAAGCCGAGAGCUUUCGAGACUAGUGCGAACCAAAUUUAACUUCAGCAACUCUUCUAAUCUUCUAGUCUUUUGAUUAUUGGUCUUUAGAGAGCCUGCUGGAUUUAAUCCAGUCAGAACCUUGAAAACUGCAUAGAAACUUGUCAGGUAGAAAGUAGUGGUCUUUCAGUGAAUUGCUCACAAGGUAAUUUAAGGGAAGGCACAACAGAUAUCACAGACACCAAUGUUGAUUGAUUUUAAGU
This 537-nucleotide transfer RNA is filed under the name Phormidesmis sp. WJT36-NPBG20. Its description in RNAcentral is "16S-23S ribosomal RNA intergenic spacer". The stretch from base 222 to 294 matches the Rfam family "tRNA". The record is from RNAcentral. Lineage: Bacteria; Bacillati; Cyanobacteriota; Cyanophyceae; Leptolyngbyales; Leptolyngbyaceae.